This 447-nucleotide ribosomal RNA is filed under the name uncultured bacterium. RNAcentral's name for it is "SSU rRNA". It matches the Rfam family "Bacterial small subunit ribosomal RNA", at positions 26 to 518 of the family's 1533-position model. The record is from RNAcentral.
AGAACGAACGCUGGCGGCAGGCUUAACACAUGCAAGUCGAACGCUCGUAGCAAUACGGGAGUGGCAGACGGGUGAGUAACGCGUGGGAACAUACCCUCCGGUUCGGAAUAGCUCAGGGAAACUUGGAUUAAUACCGGAUACGGCCGAGAGGCGAAAGAUUUAUCGCCGAAGGAUUGGCCCGCGUCCGAUUAGCUAGUUGGUGAGGUAAUGGCUCACCAAGGCGACGAUCGGUAGCUGGUCUGAGAGGAUGAUCAGCCACAUUGGGACUGAGACACGGCCCAAACUCCUACGGGAGGCAGCAGUGGGAAUAUUGGACAAUGGGCGCAAGCCUGAUCCAGCCAUGCCGCGUGAGUGAUGACGGCCUUAGGGUUGUAAAGCUCUUUCGUCAGGGACGAUAAUGACGGUACCUGAAGAAGAAGCCCCGGCUAACUUCGUGCCAGCAGCCGC